AUUGAACGCUGGCGGCAUGCUUUACACGUGCAAGUCGGACGGCAGCACAGAGAAGCUUGCUUCUUGGGUGGCGAGUGGCGAACGGGUGAGUAACAUAUCGGAACGUACCGAGCAGUGGGGGAUAACUAAUCGAAAGAUUAGCUAAUACCGCAUAUUUUCUGAGGAAGAAAGCAGGGGACCUUUGGGCCUUGCGCUGUUUGAGCGGCCGAUAUCUGAUUAGCUAGUUGGUGGGGUAAAGGCCUACCAAGGCGACGAUCAGUAGCGGGUCUGAGAGGAUGAUCCGCCACACUGGGACUGAGACACGGCCCAGACUCCUACGGGAGGCAGCAGUGGGGAAUUUUGGACAAUGGGCGCAAGCCUGAUCCAGCCAUGCCGCGUGUCUGAAGAAGGCCUUCGGGUUGUAAAGGACUUUUGUCAGGGAAGAAAAGGGCGGGGUUAAUACCCCUGUCUGAUGACGGUACCUGAAGAAUAAGCACCGGCUAACUACGUG
RNAcentral lists this ribosomal RNA (490 nucleotides) under uncultured bacterium. Its description in RNAcentral is "partial 16S ribosomal RNA". It matches the Rfam family "Bacterial small subunit ribosomal RNA", at positions 30 to 507 of the family's 1533-position model. The record is from RNAcentral.